Molecule: long non-coding RNA, 782 nt
Organism: Cannabis sativa
Lineage: Eukaryota; Viridiplantae; Streptophyta; Magnoliopsida; Rosales; Cannabaceae
Exons: 3
Source: RefSeq, a predicted model, not a curated record
AUUUAAUUAAUAAUUUUUUUUUAAAAAAAUAUGGGCUGAAACUAUUGGGAUACCUCACCACGAUCCUGUCCAAAUCUCAGACCACAAUUUCAGACCAAAUCUCAUCUCUCUUGACAACAAUAACCCUAAAUUUCAGACCUCAUCACGAUUCUGCCCGACGAGUCUGUCCGACGAUUCUGACGGCAGCUCCUCACCAUGAUUCUGACGAUUCAGUCUCUCCGCUUCUCCCGCGUCUCUUCCUCCACCAGCGGCCUCCCUUCUCUUUUUCGUUGUCUCGAAUUCAAUGGCACCUCGGAUUCAAGAGGACGCGGUAUACUACAACUUUGAUUUUGAUUGAUCUUUAGUGUUUGAAGAACGCAAAGCAACUUUAUUGGAUUACUUAGAUGAUGGCAGCAGGCAAAUGACUAAUAACAUAGAGUAUGAUGACCAAUGAUCGCUCAUGGACGAUCCACAUGUGAUCCAAGAAGACGAUUGAUAGGUUUGACAUCAAUCGCAGAUACUAUUGUCUUGUUUUUUUUGGUUUUUAGGAAGUGAUCUCCAGCUAUUCCAUUAAAGUCUCAAGUGACUACCUGGAGACUUAUUUUGUUCUUAGUCUACAUAUUUUUAGAUGUUUUGAAGAUAUUCUACAAAAGAUUGCAAAAUGUAAAAACUUAAUUGGAUUUCCUUCUUUUGUAUUGCAUUACUAAACUUUGAUGGCAUCUUAUAGAUUUCAUGAAGCUUUAAUCCUUUUGAAGAGUGUUAAAUGUAUGAAUAUUUUUAUAAAAAUAUUAUUAUUGUUAUUA